UGUCUUUAUAAAUCGCAUUAAUAUCCUACACCGUAUAUAUACAACAUAUAUAACAUUUUAUAUUAAUAUUUUAAGGCAUUAUAUGUUUAACAGUGUCACUUUGUCUGUUCUGCUUUUAUUUUGAAAAAGCGCUGUUUUCUUCUUCGGAUGGUUUUUUUUUUUGUGACGCUAAACUUCCGCUAUUCUCUCGUCACAAUGUGGUGUUCGCAUAUCGUCGGAAGAACGAGCUCCGAACUGUGAGGGUGUGUCAAGCUAGAGCACAUGGUAGCUGAUGGCAGAAACUCUUUGAUUAGCGCCCUUGGAAAAGCGGAAUGAGGUAUGAAGGAAAAUAUGUGGAGUUUGUAUUAUUAUCAAAAGGGAUAUUGUUUAAGGAAAAGAGAAUGUCAGUACUUCAUUUGUUUAUGGGUUUAUUGCACAUGUCAUCAAUAUAAAAACGUUUAUUCUUUCUUUAAACAAUUAUAAUAUAUUCUGUUUAAUUUAAAAGAAGCAUGUGAUAUUUCAUUUGUCAUAAAGGCUUAAACAUAUUUCAUAUUGUUCAUUUGUUAAAAUAAUUUGUAUUGGGUGUAAACAUGAUUAAUAUGUGAAGAUGAUUUAUGUGCAAAUUAUUUGUGAAACUACAUGGAAGCAUUUUGUAUUUCUGUUUAUUCUGUAGUUUUCACGGUGUCCAGGUGCAUGGUGCUCAUUGAGAGGAAGAAAUAAAUUGACACCCGUUUGAAACUCUCUGCGUCUUGAUCAAUGUAUAUCCGAGGGGCCGCUACAGUGAAAACUCAUCGCUGCACCAGCCCUGCCAUCUUUGGUGAGAAGUUGACGCCAUCACAUCUGAGGUCCAAACACCAACCUAAUACCAGCCAGUUUACUUCGCUUGCAUCCAACUCCUUCACACAGGCAAGACUUAAAAUGGACAGCAUACUUAAGGUACAGCUAGAGCUGCAAAAAGAGACACUGGAUGCCAAGGAGCAAGAAAGCUGAAAAGGGACAAUUUCUACACACAUGCUUGCAGCAUAACUGAAUGACUUAAUAAUAAUACGCUAUUAUAAGGUCAAAAUAUCUUGCAAACUAAUUCUCCGUUCUUAAAGCUUCUAAAACUGGUGAAAGAAACUAGCCCAUGCUCUUCGGUCAUAUCUGUUUAUGAAAAGGUUAAAAGGAGUAUUUUGUUGUUACUGUUUUAAGCUAAAAAUCCUUUUAGAUGUCCAUUAUUUGUUAAUGCGUAGCAUAAACAUUACUCUGUAGUAAAGGAUAACUACAGCUUACAAGUGUAAAUUCAGGUGGACAAUCAAAGGCUACACUCGACUUAAAGCAGCAGCACAAACAAACAAGAUGUCACUUAAAGAUACACCUUGCAGGUCCAGCUCACGAGAAAGAAAGCUAACAGAGAAAGGCCAAGAGAUGCAUGAACAAGACACCAGAAAACGUGAGAAAGCAUUUAACAAGUCCUAUGACACUUGGAAGCUGGUAGCUAGGGAGACUAGGACAAAAUUAAAAACCCUCUGUUCAUCAGAAGACCUUAUUAAAUUACAGCAAGACAUUCAAGCAAAGCAUGAUGGUGUAGCCCAGCAGUAUGAACCUAUACUUCGUAACAGUAACACCACACCAGAGAUUGUAAAGAAGAUGGAUGCCUGUGUUACGCUAACAAAAGACAUUCUUGACCUUAUUAGUAACCGUCUAGAGACUGUUAAUCAAGAAUAUAAUGAUCAACUUGAGAAGGAAAGGGUAAGAGAAAUCUUAAACAAAGAUGAAUAUGGGUCUGUCUUUGGCCACACUAAAACUGAAACGGUAAGCUCAGCAAAGUCACCGGAGAGAUUGAGCAACCACUCCAGCUCAGCCAGUACUCACAGCAGUAGAGUAGAUGCACAAGCAGAGUUUGCGGCUAAGCUGGAACAAUCAAAAGCCAUAAAAGAAAUCCAAGCUCAGCAAGCACAUCUUCACAAGUUAGAAGGUGAAUGGAAACUUAGAGAAGCAAAAAUGUUAGUAGAAAUGAAGCAAAAAGAGUGGGAAAUGCAACAACAGUUGGAACAAGAGAGAUCCAAAUUGCAGCAGUUACAAGCAGCAAAAGACGUUGCCAUAGCAGCAGCUCGUGUGAGAGCAUAUGACAAUUUUGAAGGGUUUGAGAACCAUGAUGAGGAGAUUAAUGACCAAACUAACUCUGCUUGCUACAGAAAUCAAAAUGAACCUCGAUUAAAUCCUGAUGCUGCAUCAUUCCAACCUCACCAAACUGCUCCUGAGGUGACAGUGACCCAGGAGUCUGUCAGUCUAGCCCAGGCAAUCGCCAGCUCAUUAAGCAUGAACCGCUUGCCGGUCCCUGAACCAACCACGUUCCGUGGUGACCCUCUACAGUUUACAGAUUGGAAGAUGUCAUUCAUAGCUCUUAUUGACAGGAAACCCCUCCCACCAAGUGAGAAGAUGUUUUAUCUAAAAAAUUAUCUUGCUGGAGAGGCGCGUAAAGCAGUAGAAGGUUUCUUUUAUCGAGAUUCAGAAAGUGCAUACAAUGGAGCAUGGAAAGUCUUACAAGACAGAUAUGGGAACCCGUUCAUCAUACAAAAAGCUUUCCGAGAUAAGCUCAUGAGAUGGCCAAAGAUCAACACAAAUGAUCCACUAGCGCUACAAGAGUUUGCUGACUUCCUCCAAGGCUGCACUGAGGCAAUGCCUCACGUCAAAGGACUAGCUAUCCUUAACGAUUGUGAGGAAAACCACAAGUUGCUCAGAAAACUACCAGAAUGGAUCGUGCGCAAGUGGAGUCGAGUUGUUGUGGAGGAACUUGACACAUCCGGAAGCUAUCCAGAUCUUGCAUGCUUCACAAAUUUCCUGAGCAAAGAGGCACGGAUAGCCUGCAACCCUAUUGCUUCUCCAUUGUUGAUGAACUUCAGGGCCACAAAUGAAAGAUCACCAAAGAGAGCCAAAGCUCUCAACACAAAUACACAAACAAAGAGUUUCGCUCAGGAGAAACAAGAAACAAAUGGCAGUAAACCAAAAUCACCUUGCUUCAUGUGUAAAAGUGAAGAUCAUAACAUCACCAAGUGUCCCACCUUCGCAGCAAAGAGUAUUGAAGAUAAAAAGGCAUUCAUCUGUGAAAAUCGGCUCUGCUUUGGGUGCUUGAGGAAGGGUCACAUGACAAAAGAUUGUAAGAGACGACACACAUGCAACAUAUGCAACCGUCGUCACCCAUCCUGCUUGCACGAUGACAGGAAACAAAGACCUGUGGAAGCAACAGCGAAUAGUUCCACUUCCACAGAAAACCAUGCAAGCUUGGAAACUCACAAUGUCGUAUCCCAUGCAUCAACGCAACGUUCUUCAGCUACCUCAAGUAUCGUCCCAGUCCUUGUGUCUUCAAUACAAGAGCCACACAGAGAAGUACUUACGUACGCAAUACUGGACACACAGAGUGACUCAACGUUUGUCUUAGAAGAUGUACUUGACAAACUGAAUGUUGAUGCCCAACCAGUAAAAUUAAAAUUGAGUACUAUGACGGCUAUUGACACAAUCAUAUCUAGCAAGAACGUCCGUGGUCUACAAGUUCGAGGACUGCACUCUAAGGACCACAUUCAAUUACAGCAGGCCUACAGCCGUGAUUUUAUACCAGUGGACAAGUCUUACGUUCCAACAAAUGAAACAGCCUUACUCUGGCCUCAUCUCAGACAUUUGGCAGAUAAGCUACCACCCCUUCUAGACUGUGAUGUAGGGCUCCUGAUAGGAUAUGACUGUCCAGCAGCAUUAACUCCUCUUGAGGUUAUCAUUGGAGACAAAGAUCAACCGUUUGCACAGAGAUCAAUACUAGGAUGGAGUAUCAUAGGCUCAUCAAAUCCUCACCUAGACAGACAAGGAAGUCAGAGCUUUGUGCAUCGGCUCACGGUAAAAGAACUGCCAAUUCCAUCGACAACAGAUGUUCUAAAAGCCCUAGAAUCAGACUUCACCGAGAGAACAUAUGAAGAUAAAUAUGUGUCCCAGAACGAUGUUCAUUUCAUACAGUUCCUCAGUGACAACAUCACGCAGAAGAAAGAUGGACAUUAUGAGAUGCCCCUCCCUUUCAAGGGCAACAGUCCACCCAACCUACCAAACAACAAGAGGCUAGCCACAGUUCGUCUACAGUGUCUUAAGAAGAAGUUAAAGACCAAUAAAAAAUAUUAUGAUCAAUACAAAACAUUCAUGGAAGAAACAAUUAGCAAGGGUGAUGCAGAGCCUGCCCCUACAACAUUUGCAGGAGAGACUGAGUGGUACCUUCCGCAUCAUGGCAUUUAUCACCCCAGAAAACCAGACAAGCUGAGAGUUGUAUUCGACUGUUCAGCCAAAUUCCAUGGUGUUUCUCUAAAUGACACUUUACUGACUGGGCCUGAUCUUAUCAAUCCUCUGGUAGGAGUUCUCUGCCGCUUCAGGAAGGAGGCUGUAGCGAUCAUCUGUGAUAUCGAAAGAAUGUUUUAUCAGUUCUCUGUCACUCCUGAAUCCCGGAAUUAUCUGAAAUUCCUCUGGUGGGGAGGUGGAGAUUUGGAGAAGGAACCACAGGAAUACAGGAUGGCAGUUCAUCUCUUUGGAGCUGCCUCGUCUCCAGGAUGUGCCAACUUUGGCUUGAAACAUCUGGCACGCCAACACAAAGCUACCUAUCCACUAGCAUCAACAUUCAUAGAGAAAAACUUUUAUGUUGAUGACGGGCUAGUCAGUGUUCCAUCGGUCGAGGAAGCCAAGAAACUGAUCACUGAGUCACAGGAGUUGUGCAAAAGAGGAGGCCUACGCCUUCAUAAAUUCAACUCUAAUGAGGAAGCAGCCCUCGCCUGCUUAGAUCCUUCAGAAAGAGCAGCAACCAUUGAACCUCUAGGACUGGAUCCAACUCCAUCAGAGCGUGCACUCGGCAUUCAAUGGUCGAUUAAAACUGACACUUUUAGUUUUAACAGCAGCUUGAAAGAUCAGCCUUCCACCCGGCGUGGUUGCCUUUCUGUCAUUGCCUCUCUUUAUGAUCCACUUGGAUUCAUUGCUCCAUUCAGCCUAACUGGAAAGCGUAUACUUCAAGAGCUGUGUCACAGAGGCAUCGGAUGGGAUGAUCCACUACCAGAAGAUAUGAGACCACGGUGGGAGGAGUGGAUAAAUGGGCUUCAGAGGUUGAAAGAGGUUUCAAUUCCGAGAUGUUACCACCCAUAUGACUUCCAUAACAUUGUCAGAGUAGAGUUGCACCAUUUUUCGGAUGCCAGCUGCGUGGGAUAUGGUGCAUGUUCUUACCUCAGGUUCAAAAAUGACAAGGAUAAAGUCCAUUGCAGUCUCGUGCUGGCGAAAGCAAGGGUUGCACCCUCAAAGGUCACAAGUAUCCCGAGACUAGAACUUGCAGCAGCUGUGGUUUCUACGAAAGUCAGUGUCAUGUUAAAAGGUGAACUUGACAUAAAGAUUGAUGAAGAGGUUUUCUGGACCGAUUCAAAGGUGGUGCUUGGGUAUAUUAACAAUGAUGCCCGUAGGUUCCACAUAUUUGUUGCGAACCGUGUUCAGAUGAUAAGGGAUAACAGUGAUCCCAGUCAGUGGCACUAUGUGGACACUGCAGAAAACCCGGCAGAUCAUGCUUCCCGAGGUCUUAGUGCUUCAGACCUUCAUUCAACAAACUGGCUUCGAGGACCGAAGUUUCUCUGGGAGAGUAAUUUACUUCUAUCACCCAGCGCUCCAUCAGAAUUACUUGUUGGUGAUCCUGAAGUCAAGACAAUUCAGGUGUUUGCAACAGAAGUCAAAAACUACAAUGACAUCCUCAGCCGUCUGUGUCAGUUUUCCUCCUGGACAAAAAUUCUUAAGGUGGUGGCAAGAAUCAAGAGGCUGGGGUCUAAACAGAGACAACACAGUGAGUAUGUGACUGUUAAGGAGAUUGAGAAGGCUGCAGAUGAAGUGAUUAAGAUCGUACAGCAGCAAGCUUUCCCCCAAGAGAUAAAGAUGCUUCAGGGUAAAAAGGACCUUCCAAACUCAAGCUCUCUUUUCCGUCUCGACCCUAUCUGGUCUGAAGGACUCCUCUGUGUUGGUGGCAGAUUGAACCAGUCAUCGCUCUGUCAUAAAGUCAAGCACCCAGUCAUCCUACCGAAUAGCAGCCACAUCACUAAGCUAAUUGUGUCUCAUUUCCACGCUAAGACAUGCCAUCAGGGUCGAGGCCAGACUCUAAUGGAGCUUCGGGCCAAUGGAUUCUGGGUAAUUGGUGGGAGCAAGUUGGUUGCUAAGGUGAUACACACUUGUGUGUUUUGCAGGAAACUGCGAAGGCCAACAGAAAGACAACGAAUGGCUGAACUUCCCACAGAACGCGUUGAAGCCUCAGCACCUUUCACAUACUGCGGCAUGGACUGUUUCGGUCCUUUCAUUGUAAAGAAAGCCCGCAAAGAAUACAAAAGAUACGGCGUGAUUUUCACAUGUAUGUACUGUAGAGCUGUUCAUAUUGAAAUGCUCGAAGAUUUGUCAACAGACUCAUUCAUCAACUCAUUGAGAUGCUUCAUCAGCCUGAGAGGAGCUGUUCAACAACUUCGCUGUGACCAAGGCUCUAAUUUUGUUGGCGCAAGGAAUGAGCUCAAGGAAGCACUUAAACAAUGUGACAUUAAGCUUCUGGAAAUCUUCCUGACAGAGAAGCAGUGCGAAUUUGUCUUCAAUGCUCCCUCUGACAGUCCUGCAGGUGGUGUCUGGGAACGCCAGAUCAGAACUGUUAGAAAUGUGCUGAAUGCCGCCUUUGCACAGUGCCCAGGUCGACUGGACGACGCUUCCCUCAGAACACUGCUAUAUGAGACCAUGGCUAUCGUUAACAGCCGCCCAUUAACAGUGGAUGGAAUCAAUGAUCCACAGGCACUGGAGCCUAUAACACCGAAUCAUCUCAUUAUGAUGAAAUCUAAAGUUGCUCUUCCUCCUCCUGGAGUAUUUGUCAAGGAGGACCUGUAUGCAUCAAAAAGGUGGAGAAGAGUUCAGUAUCUCAUCGAACAGUUUUGGAGCCGCUGGAAAAAGGAGUAUCUGCUGAACAUAUCCUUGAGACAGAAAUGGCACUCACCUCAGCGCAACCUCAAAGUGGAUGACAUUGUCAUUAUUAAAGACGACAACCUCCCAAGAAAUCAGUGGCAACUUGGACGGGUGAUUGAAACUGUUCAAAGUAGUGAUGGCUUGGUUCGUCGAGUUAAAGUGCAAGUUGGUGAGCGGAAACCUCAUAAAAAACAAGAUCCACCCUCCAAGCCCUCAGUUAUUGAGAGACCAAUCAAAAAAUUGGUGCUCCUCCUAGAGAACUGAUUAAAAGAAAGCGAUUUACAACACUGCACAAACUGCUUUAUUAUGCAUGAUGCCAUAUAGUUACGCCUCUGAUAGCUUAACUUCAGGCUAUUAAUUUCUUAGCAAGAAAUCCUGCACAAUUCACUUACUCUUUGUAUAUUUGUUCAUUCAUUGUACCAGGAUUUGGUGGGAGUGUAAAUGUCUUUAUAAAUCGCAUUAAUAUCCUACACCGUAUAUAUACAACAUAUAUAACAUUUUAUAUUAAUAUUUUAAGGCAUUAUAUGUUUAACAGUGUCACUUUGUCUGUUCUGCUUUUAUUUUGAAAAAGCGCUGUUUUCUUCUUCGGAUGGUUUUUUUUUUGUGACGCUAAAUUUCCGCUAUUCUCUCGUCACAAUGUGGUGUUCGCAUAUCGUCGGAAGAACGAGCUCCGAACUGUGAGGGUGUGUCAAGCUAGAGCACAUGGUAGCUGAUGGCAGAAACUCUUUGAUUAGCGCCCUUGGAAAAGCGGAAUGAGUUUUCACGGUGUCCAGGUGCAUGGUGCUCAUUGAGAGGAAGAAAUAAAUUGACACCCGUUUGAAACUCUCUGCGUCUUGAUCAAUGUAUAUCCGAGGGGCCGCUACAG
This is an RNA transcript of Carassius gibelio (silver crucian carp), 7813 nucleotides long. RefSeq lists it as uncharacterized. Lineage: Eukaryota; Metazoa; Chordata; Actinopteri; Cypriniformes; Cyprinidae. The transcript has 2 exons. The record is from RefSeq and is a predicted model, not a curated record.